AUACUCGAUAGUAUCACUUGAUGGCAUCUGAAGGUGAUUAAAGAUUUAUCGGUUAUGGAUGGGCAUGCGUCUGAUUAGCUAGUCGGUGGGGUAAUGGCCUACCAAGGCGACGACGGGUAGCCGACCUGAGAGGGUGACCGGCCACACUGGGACUGAGACACGGCCCAGACUCCUACGGGAGGCAGCAGUGGGGAAUAUUGCACAAUGGGCGAAAGCCUGAUGCAGCGACGCCGCGUGAGGGAUGACGGCCUUCGGGUUGUAAACCUCUUUCAGCAGGGACGAAGCGCAAGUGACGGUACCUGCAGAAGAAGCACCGGCUAACUACGUGCCAGCAGCCGCGGUAAUACGUAGGGUGCAAGCGUUGUCCGGAAUUACUGGGCGUAAAGAGUUCGUAGGCGGUUUGUCGCGUCGUUUGUGAAAACCAGCAGCUCAACUGCUGGCUUGCAGGCGAUACGGGCAGACUUGAGUACUGCAGGGGAGACUGGAAUUCCUGGUGUAGCGGUGAAAUGCGCAGAUAUCAGGAGGAACACCGGUGGCGAAGGCGGGUCUCUGGGCAGUAACUGACGCUGAGGAACGAAAGCGUGGGUAGCGAACAGGAUUAGAUACCCUGGUAGUCCACGCCGUAAACGGUGGGCGCUAGGUGUGGGUUCCUUCCACGGAAUCCGUGCCGUAGCUAACGCAUUAAGCGCCCCGCCUGGGGAGUACGGCCGCAAGGCUAAAACUCAAAUGAAUUGACGG
RNAcentral lists this ribosomal RNA (738 nucleotides) under uncultured bacterium. RNAcentral's name for it is "bacterial SSU rRNA". It matches the Rfam family "Bacterial small subunit ribosomal RNA", at positions 166 to 916 of the family's 1533-position model. The record is from RNAcentral.